This 424-nucleotide ribosomal RNA is filed under the name uncultured prokaryote. RNAcentral describes it as "bacterial SSU rRNA". It matches the Rfam family "Bacterial small subunit ribosomal RNA", at positions 355 to 796 of the family's 1533-position model. The record is from RNAcentral.
UGGGGAAUAUUGGACAAUGGGCGCAAGCCUGAUCCAGCCAUGCCGCGUGAGUGAAGAAGGCCCUAGGGUUGUAAAUCUCUUUCGGCGGGGAAGAUGAUGACGGUACCCGCAGAAGAAGCCCCGGCUAACUCCGUGCCAGCAGCCGCGGUAAUACGGAGGGGGCAAGCGUUGUUCGGAAUUACUGGGCGUAAAGGGCGCGUAGGCGGCUGAUCAAGUCAGGGGUGAAAGGCCUGGGCUCAACCUAGGAACUGCCCUUGAAACUGAUUGGCUUGAGGACGGGAGAGGAUGGCGGAAUUCCCAGUGUAGAGGUGAAAUUCGUAGAUAUUGGGAAGAACACCAGUGGCGAAGGCGGCCAUCUGGCCCGUUACUGACGCUGAGGCGCGAAAGCGUGGGGAGCAAACAGGAUUAGAUACCCCCGUAGUCC